AUUGAACGCUGGCGGCAGGCCUAACACAUGCAAGUCGAGCGGAUGAAGGGAGCUUGCUCCUGGAUUCAGCGGCGGACGGGUGAGUAAUGCCUAGGAAUCUGCCUGGUAGUGGGGGAUAACGUCCGGAAACGGGCGCUAAUACCGCAUACGUCCUGAGGGAGAAAGUGGGGGAUCUUCGGACCUCACGUUAUCAGAUGAGCCUAGGUCGGAUUAGCUAGUUGGUGGGGUAAAGGCCUACCAAGGCGACGAUCCGUAACUGGUCUGAGAGGAUGAUCAGUCACACUGGAACUGAGACACGGUCCAGACUCCUACGGGAGGCAGCAGUGGGGAAUAUUGGACAAUGGGCGAAAGCCUGAUCCAGCCAUGCCGCGUGUGUGAAGAAGGUCUUCGGAUUGUAAAGCACUUUAAGUUGGGAGGAAGGGCAGUAAGUUAAUACCUUGCUAUUUUGACGUUACCAACAGAAUAAGCACCGGCUAACUUCGUG
This 484-nucleotide ribosomal RNA is filed under the name uncultured bacterium. Its description in RNAcentral is "partial 16S ribosomal RNA". It matches the Rfam family "Bacterial small subunit ribosomal RNA", at positions 30 to 507 of the family's 1533-position model. The record is from RNAcentral.